Molecule: long non-coding RNA, 1094 nt
Filed under: Theobroma cacao (cacao)
Lineage: Eukaryota; Viridiplantae; Streptophyta; Magnoliopsida; Malvales; Malvaceae
Description: long non-coding RNA (TCAC_LNC004969)
Source: RNAcentral
UCCUCCGAUAAAGGCAAAGAAAUUGCAUCCGAGGACCAGUAGACAAAGUACUUCGAAAGUCUGCAUUCUAGACAUUGUGAGUAAACUUACUGUCAUUUUAAUUAUCUAGGGUGUUUUUUAGAUGAUUUCAUGAAUUCUAUGGAAAAAUGGAUUCAAAAGGUAAAUUUUCAUGUUUUAUGAAUAAAGGUGUUCCAAUGAAAUUAAAUUAUAAAUUGUUUUGAAACUAAUAAUGAUUUUAAAAAAUAGAGUAUACGGAGACUGUUAAUUGUGACAAUUUGAUUGUUUAAAUUGACGACUUAUGUUAUAUUGUUAUUGUGUUGGCAUGACUAGCUGGGCUGUGUUUUAUGAAUUGUAUGAAUUGUUUUAUUUUACCUUUGCAGGCUGGGUAGUAUUUCAUUAGCCCUGUCAUGCCGUCAAAAUUUUAUUAUAUGGUGGAUUAUAUAUUACUUAAUCACUACAGUAGGGGGUUUUUGUGGACCAGCCUUUUAGAGGGGCAUGGUAAACCCCAUUAUAAUUCUUACCUCGAUUGGAGAGGCGUGUAAGGUAUCUCUUGAGGUAAAGUUUAGGGUUCACUUCACGCUAAACCACCACGUGAGGGUGAACUCAGCCAACGCCAAGGAACGGCUGUGAUGUCCAACGAAAAUAGUGUUUUAUGUGAAAUGUGAAUUUUUAACAGCCUUGGUGGUCUUGGUAGGAUGCCUCGGCCAAGGUGUCCUUGAGAAUGGAUUUAUGGCACAAGCCUAGUUUUUAUGAGAUUCAUAAGCCUCUUCACGUAUUUUGAAUGAAAUGUAUUCUAAUGCUGUGACUCAGUUUACGAUGAUUAACUUUAUUGUCUCCAUGUAUUCAACUCUAGAUGUUUAUGAUGAUGUUUGUUUACUCAUUGGGAUUUUAUAAUCUCACCACCCUCAUUUCCAUCCAUUUCAGGUUCAGUAUAGACUGUAGAUAGCUGAUCUCAUCGAGGACUACCAUUGGAUUUGCAUUUUCCAAACUGUAGGUUUACAGUCCUCUUUACUUUUGUUUAUUUAGGAGCCCACUGGUUAUUGUAAAUUAAAGUAAAUAUUUUGGUUUACUGUAUUGCAAUAUGUAAGAAUUUA